This 492-nucleotide ribosomal RNA is filed under the name uncultured bacterium. Its description in RNAcentral is "partial 16S ribosomal RNA". It matches the Rfam family "Bacterial small subunit ribosomal RNA", at positions 29 to 507 of the family's 1533-position model. The record is from RNAcentral.
AGUGAACGCUGGCGGUAGGCCUAACACAUGCAAGUCGAACGGCAGCACAGUAAGAGCUUGCUCUUACGGGUGGCGAGUGGCGGACGGGUGAGGAAUACAUCGGAAUCUACUUUUUCGUGGGGGAUAACGUAGGGAAACUUACGCUAAUACCGCAUACGACCUACGGGUGAAAGAAGGGGAUCUUCGGACCUUGCGCGAUUGAAUGAGCCGAUGUCGGAUUAGCUAGUUGGCGGGGUAAAGGCCCACCAAGGCGACGAUCCGUAGCUGGUCUGAGAGGAUGAUCAGCCACACUGGAACUGAGACACGGUCCAGACUCCUACGGGAGGCAGCAGUGGGGAAUAUUGGACAAUGGGCGCAAGCCUGAUCCAGCCAUGCCGCGUGGGUGAAGAAGGCCUUCGGGUUGUAAAGCCCUUUUGUUGGGAAAGAAAAGCAGCAGGUUAAUACCCCGCUGUUCUGACGGUACCCAAAGAAUAAGCACCGGCUAACUUCGUG